Molecule: ribosomal RNA, 188 nt
Filed under: Meloidogyne naasi
Lineage: Eukaryota; Metazoa; Nematoda; Chromadorea; Rhabditida; Meloidogynidae
Description: partial 18S ribosomal RNA
Rfam family: Eukaryotic small subunit ribosomal RNA
Source: RNAcentral
UGAUUACGUCCCUGCCCUUUGUACACACCGCCCGUCGCUGCCCGGGACUGAGCCAUUUCGAGAAAUUUGGGGACCGUUAAUUAAACAUUUAUUUGUUUUUUUGAUGGAAACCAAUUUAAUCGCAGUGGCUUGAACCGGGCAAAAGUCGUAACAAGGUAGCUGUAGGUGAACCUGCUGCUGGAUCAUUA